AAUACCUCAAGUCUUGAUGGACUAUUCCCUGAACUGUAACGAGUAUACUAAGAAGUGUAGGUAUCGAAAGAUUAAGGUGCCUUGCGGGCAGUUAUUCGAAAAGAUGCUUACCUCCUGGGGAGUCUGUUGCGUCAUGCGGCCGUAUAAAUUGGCUAAUGUGUCAACGACAAUGCUAGCCAGAACAUUUUCGACACAAACGAUGGAUCUAGUGCUGCAAUGCUCGCAUGGAUCCAGACUUUAUUCCUGUCAGUUCAUAACAAGAUAUGAAGGGGAAGAGUUUGC
This is a long non-coding RNA of Trichoplusia ni (cabbage looper), 282 nucleotides long. RefSeq lists it as uncharacterized. The record is from RefSeq and is a predicted model, not a curated record. NCBI's taxonomy places the organism in Eukaryota, Metazoa, Arthropoda, Insecta, Lepidoptera, Noctuidae. The transcript is spliced from 3 exons.